GUGGGGAAUAUUGGACAAUGGGCGCAAGCCUGAUCCAGCCAUGCCGCGUGAGUGAUGAAGGCCUUAGGGUUGUAAAGCUCUUUCAGUGGGGACGAUAAUGACGGUACCCACAGAAGAAGCCCCGGCUAACUUCGUGCCAGCAGCCGCGGUAAUACGAAGGGGGCUAGCGUUGUUCGGAUUUACUGGGCGUAAAGCGCACGUAGGCGGAUCGUUAAGUCGGGGGUGAAAUCCUGGAGCUCAACUCCAGAACUGCCUUCGAUACUGGCGAUCUUGAGUCCGGAAGAGGUGAGUGGAACUCCUAGUGUAGAGGUGGAAUUCGUAGAUAUUAGGAAGAACACCAGUGGCGAAGGCGGCUCACUGGUCCGGUACUGACGCUGAGGUGCGAAAGCGUGGGGAGCAAACAGGAUUAGAUACCCUUGUAGUCC
Molecule: ribosomal RNA, 425 nt
Filed under: uncultured bacterium
Lineage: Bacteria
Description: bacterial SSU rRNA
Rfam family: Bacterial small subunit ribosomal RNA
Source: RNAcentral